Molecule: ribosomal RNA, 496 nt
Filed under: uncultured bacterium
Lineage: Bacteria
Description: partial 16S ribosomal RNA
Rfam family: Bacterial small subunit ribosomal RNA
Source: RNAcentral
ACUCAAAUGAAUUGACGGGGCCCCGCACAAGCAGCGGAGCGUGUUGCUUAAUUCGAUGCGACGCGAAGAACCUUACCUGGGCUUGACAUGCAGGGAAAAGCCGCAGAGAUGCGGUGUCCUUCGGGGCCUUGCACAGGUGGUGCAUGGCUGUCGUCAGCUCGUGUCGUGAGAUGUUGGGUUAAGUCCCGCAACGAGCGCAACCCUUUUCCUAUGUUGCCAGCGGAUUAUGCCGGGGACUCGUAGGAGACUGCCGGGGUCAACUCGGAGGAAGGUGGGGACGAAGUCAAGUCAUCAUGCCCCUUAUGUCCAGGGCUGCAAACACGCUACAAUGGCCGGUACAAAGGGCAGCGAUCCCGCGAGGGUGAGCGAAUCCCACAAAGCCGGUCUCAGUUCGGAUUGGAGUCUGCAACUCGACUCCAUGAAGCUGGAGUUGCUAGUAAUCCCGGAUCAGCACGCCGGGGUGAAUACGUUCCCGGGGCUUGUACACACCGCCCGU